Perca fluviatilis (European perch) is the source of this 652-nucleotide long non-coding RNA. RefSeq lists it as uncharacterized. The transcript is spliced from 3 exons. The record is from RefSeq and is a predicted model, not a curated record. NCBI's taxonomy places the organism in Eukaryota, Metazoa, Chordata, Actinopteri, Perciformes, Percidae.
UUAUCUUAAUUAGGCUACUGUCCGUGGCAAUAUCUCAUUGUGUUCUUCGGUUUGAUGUCUUUGAAGUAAACAUGCAAUGGGAACUUUAAGGAAAAAGACAAAUAACAGUUAUAAUAUAAAUAUACGUUGUGUAUCUGUGUGGUGGCCCUCAGUUCACUGACAUCAGCCAGUGGAGUACUAGAGUCUCUGUAACUGAAGAAACGCUGUGUCAUUGUCUUGCAGUGUCAGUGCACACACAUCAUUACACUGACCACAUGGGAACAGAUGACUUCAAGACUAAGUAAAGAAGAAAUUAAAGUGGAACUAUGCUGUGACUGCUAUUCUCUGUUCUGUGCAAUGCCGCUGAGUGGAUAGCUUCUUGCUGUGGCUCCUCGAAGGACAGGGUAACAGCAGGAUGACAAAACCAGUGUAAAGGGCAGAAAGUGUGGACAGUCUCUAUGGAUGAAACAACAUCCAGUCAAAAUCCUCCCUAAUUCCUCUGGACAGAAGAGAUGCCCAAAUUUCCCCUCCACCUUAUUUAUCUCUGAAGUGUAUUUACUUGCAGCACAUUGAUCUGUGUUGCUCUGUACUUGUUAUAAUGAUGACUUGUCCGAAAACUCCUUGUUGGGAAGUUGGAUGAUGUUUGACAGCAGACAAGUGCUGCAGUCGCUCA